CCAGCUCGAACCGGCCCGAUAGAAAAGAAAAAAAAAACUCCAUCCUGCCUCCCCCGAACCACCCACUUCCCGAUCCCAUCUCGCCACUGUCGCCACCCCUUCCACUGCCGCCGUGCGCCACCACCCCUCGCGCCACGGCCGGCCUCCCUCGUUCCAGCGUGCUGCCGGCCUCCCCCGUUCCAGCGCGCCGCAACCGGCCUCCCUCGUUCCAGCGCGCUGACGGCCUCCCCCGUUCCAGCUCACCACGGCCGGCCUCCCUCGUUCCAGCACGCCUCCAUGGGCCUCCCCGUUCCAGCGUGCCACCACAGGCUUCCCCCUUCCAGCGCGGGCUGCAAGACUGACCGCCGCCCCCUGGCUUCAAUGUGCCACCGUCGGAUCCCCUGGCUUCCACCUGCCGUCGUCGUCCCCCUAGCUUCACCUGCCGCCGUGGCCUCCCUGCUUCCACCAGCCGUCGUCGGGGGUCACCCCCGACACCUCCACCGUCGCCACGCGCGACGCACCUCCUCCCAAGGACGCGGUCGCCUCCCCGCCUCCUACCAGCGACGCGACCACUCCUCCCGGCAGUGCGCCAUGUGUGGCCGAUGUUUCGGCGUCGCCCUCUGGGGCCUCAGUGCGCAGGACGUUCAACUCCACCACCUGAGGUCAUUCACCUCUGCCACCUAAAGCCGUUCACCACCACCAGUCCCCGUCCAAGGCUGCCCCGAUGACCCGUGCGUUAACGCCCCUAUCAACCCCGUGGGAUUUUGUUUCUCUCGGCUUCAAAAAGAGAGGCAACAAGUAGCAAGGGAAAAAGAAGAGCAUGAUUGACAUCCGUAGUCAAAAUGAGCUUUGGACAUCAGGUGGUUCAACGUGUCGAGCGGUAGCAGCGCAUGCUCCGAAUGGUUGCCGGUGCAAGGAGGAUACAGGGAUGCUACAUUGCUGGAGGAGCAGUAGCAUGUAGUAGCUAGCUGAUGAAAAAGUAUCCGCACAGCCAGCGGCCUGCUCUGGCCAUGCCGCACCACCACUGGCAUGUCCACCAUGGUUGCUGGCAGCCGUCCAAGUUGAGCGCUGAUGGUAGUCCUCUCCAUGCAUCAACGACACUCUCUCACUCUCACAGCAAAUCUCUCUCUCUCACUUUGCUUCGGCUAUUAAAAUGCGUACAUAUGUUCUACUAAUUAAGUAGUUAGGAAGAUGUGAAAAGAACUUCCUCUUUAGGUGUUCAUUACAAUUUACUAUUUUUGUUCAAUUCAAAAAUCUUAUUUUAGCCAUGUAAUAUACGUAGUUGGCAAAGAUGACUAUAGUUGUUAUAGCAAAAGCAGUACAAACUUUUUAGAAGUUUCUUUUUGAACUUCUCCCAAUUAUGAUGCACAAAAUAAAGAAGUAUGGGAUCCUUGGUUUACUUACAGGUAGGUCAUCAUUCAAACCUAACACAGAAACUCCUCGCUCGACAUUCGAACUCUUCUUUUCUCAAGACUAGUACUGCUAACUGUUCUUUCACUAUGUAUUCUUUCUCUCAGUUCAUACAGAAACGUGGUAAUAGUUUGAUGUGGAGAAAUAGUUCAUUUUUAUAUAUCAUAAGAAGAAAAGAACAUGUUUCCUAUAGGAGAAAAUCAAAAUAUUAUUAGCAACUCACUAUGUAUUCUACCAUCAGUUCUAUGUGUGUUAGUGAGAGGGUUCGGUGUCUCAUUGUUUUCACUUGCCCAGAAAAAAAUGUUUUGUUGCAGACUAGGAACAUUAUAUUUGUAGUUUUUUAUAAACAAAGAACUAGUAAGUUCAUAUAAGUUCAAAAGACAAAGCAUCGAAAGUUCAGUCGAAAGCUCUCACCACCUUCCUUUCUAUUUCUUAAUUAUUGUAGGACAUUUCAAGCACUGAGCAAAAGGGAUUAGUAUACAUUGCAGAAGUAGUUGUAGGAUGCUCAAGUUCUUUUGACUUUCUUUUCUCUCAUUCUUGACGAGUUGUUUCUUUUUUCUGGUUUCAAAAGUAGAAGAGG
Long non-coding RNA from Triticum aestivum (bread wheat), 1969 nucleotides. RefSeq lists it as uncharacterized. The record is from RefSeq and is a predicted model, not a curated record. The transcript has 4 exons. NCBI's taxonomy places the organism in Eukaryota, Viridiplantae, Streptophyta, Magnoliopsida, Poales, Poaceae.